GUGGUCGUGGUGUUCAACGGACAGCACAUCGGCUCGCCAAGCCGGGAGUACGGGUUCGAAUCCCGUCGACCGCACCA
RNAcentral lists this transfer RNA (77 nucleotides) under Akkermansiaceae bacterium. Its description in RNAcentral is "tRNA-Gly". It matches the Rfam family "tRNA". Rfam says of the family: Transfer RNA (tRNA) molecules are approximately 80 nucleotides in length. Their secondary structure includes four short double-helical elements and three loops (D, anti-codon, and T loops). The record is from RNAcentral. Lineage: Bacteria; Pseudomonadati; Verrucomicrobiota; Verrucomicrobiia; Verrucomicrobiales; Akkermansiaceae.